RNAcentral lists this long non-coding RNA (720 nucleotides) under Rattus norvegicus (Norway rat). Its description in RNAcentral is "long non-coding RNA NONRATT011275". The record is from RNAcentral. Lineage: Eukaryota; Metazoa; Chordata; Mammalia; Rodentia; Muridae.
GCUUGGCCACCACUCCAUCGGCCAGCCCGAGGGCAGCAUUGGCCUGUGUGUGUUAGCAUUUGGGGGCGUUUACUCUCGUGACUUUGAGUGCAGAGCAAACCUGAGUUUCCUUCACCGUGCACAGGCGGGGUUCUAUGCUGAAGUGUGGACAGAAUUGGCUUUUAACAAAACGAGCGUUUUGACAGCUUGAGCAAAUCUGCCUGUGCGUUCUCACAUCACAGAACGGGCCUAGCGAGCUGGUAGAAGUGGAUCCCUGUGGUCCCAGCAGGGUACUGCCAUGAAGAAGUGGUAGCUUUUUUUCUGUGACCCAAAGCAAAAGUACAAAGCAGUCUAGUCUGCUUCAUACCUUGCUCUCAGAUAAGGCUGUGUGGCGUUUCCACUCCUACAGAGCUGGCCUCCCUCUGUGCUCUUUGUACAGACAGAGUUGGCACAGCGUUUCUCAUGGUCCCCUCGCUAGAUCCCAUCACAGCUUUAUCUCUAAGAAUGCCAGAACAGCCACGGCCUGCCUGCCAACUAGUUUCACAAGUCCACGUUUUGUCAAGCUUUCUCUCUAUGCGACUUUCUUUUUUUUUUUUUCUGAGCUUUUUGAGGAAAAGAUGCAGUCGUUAUCGCACUUUAAGACUUGAGCAUCCUCCUAAGAACAAGGACGGCCCUCUAACAGGAUUAGUAAUCCAUACGGUGGAUCUCCGAGUUCAAGGCCAGCCUGGUCUACAGAUUGAG